This 509-nucleotide ribosomal RNA is filed under the name uncultured cyanobacterium. RNAcentral's name for it is "bacterial SSU rRNA". It matches the Rfam family "Bacterial small subunit ribosomal RNA", at positions 115 to 655 of the family's 1533-position model. The record is from RNAcentral. Lineage: Bacteria; Bacillati; Cyanobacteriota.
GCGUGAGAAUCUGCCCUUAGGAAGAGGAUAACAGCUGGAAACGGUUGCUAAUACUCUAUACGCCGAGAGGUAAAAGGAUUUAUCCACCUUAGGAAGAGCUCGCGUCUGAUUAGCUUGUUGGUAAGGUAAUGGCUUACCAAGGCGACGAUCAGUAGCUGGUUUGAGAGGACGACCAGCCACACUGGGACUGAGACACGGCCCAGACUCCUACGGGAGGCAGCAGUGGGGAAUUUUCCGCAAUGGGCGAAAGCCUGACGGAGCAAUACCGCGUGAGGGAUGAAAGCCUGUGGGUUGUAAACCUCUUUUCUCAAGGAAGAAGUUCUGACGGUACUUGAGGAAUAAGCAUCGGCUAACUCUGUGCCAGCAGCCGCGGUAAUACAGAGGAUGCAAGCGUUAUCCGGAAUCACUGGGCAUAAAGCGUCUGUAGGUUGCCUACCAAGUCUGCUGUUAAAGAUCAGGGCCUAANCCCUGGGAAAGCAGUGGAAACUAGUGGGCUUGAGUGUGGUAGA